UACGGAGGGUGCAAGCGUUAUCCGGAUUCACUGGGUUUAAAGGGUGCGUAGGCGGAUUGGUAAGUCCGUGGUGAAAUCUCUAAGCUUAACUUGGAAACUGCCAUGGAUACUAUUAGUCUUGAAUAUUGUGGAGGUUAGCGGAAUAUGUCAUGUAGCGGUGAAAUGCAUAGAUAUGACAUAGAACACCAAUUGCGAAGGCAGCUGGCUACACAAAUAUUGACGCUGAUGCACGAAAGCGUGGGGAUCAAACAGG
Molecule: ribosomal RNA, 253 nt
Filed under: uncultured bacterium
Lineage: Bacteria
Description: partial 16S ribosomal RNA
Rfam family: Bacterial small subunit ribosomal RNA
Source: RNAcentral